RNAcentral lists this unclassified non-coding RNA (337 nucleotides) under soil metagenome. Its description in RNAcentral is "partial contains 5.8S ribosomal RNA, internal transcribed spacer 2, and large subunit ribosomal RNA". The stretch from base 1 to 120 matches the Rfam family "5.8S ribosomal RNA", at positions 35 to 154 of the family's 154-position model. The record is from RNAcentral.
GAUGAAGAACGUAGCGAAAUGCGAUAAGUAAUGUGAAUUGCAGAAUUCAGUGAAUCAUCGAAUCUUUGAACGCACAUUGCGCCCGGCAGUACUCUGCCGGGCAUGCCUGUUCGAGCGUCAUUUCAACCCUCAAGCCCUGCUUGGUGUUGGGGCCCCACGGCUGCCGUGGGCCCUGAAAGGAAGUGGCGGGCUCGCUACAACUCCGAGCGUAGUAAUUCAUUAUCUCGCUUAGGGCGUUGGGCGGCGCUCCAGCCGUUAAAGAACCAUCUUUAACUCAAGGUUGACCUCGGAUCAGGUAGGAAUACCCGCUGAACUUAAGCAUAUCAAUAAGCGGGGA